UGGGGAAUAUUGGACAAUGGGCGCAAGCCUGAUCCAGCCAUACCGCGUGAGUGAUGAAGGCCCUAGGGUUGUAAAGCUCUUUCACCGGUGAAGAUAAUGACGGUAACCGGAGAAGAAGCCCCGGCUAACUUCGUGCCAGCAGCCGCGGUAAUACGAAGGGGGCUAGCGUUGUUCGGAUUUACUGGGCGUAAAGCGCACGUAGGCGGACUAUUAAGUCAGGGGUGAAAUCCCGGGGCUCAACCCCGGAACUGCCUUUGAUACUGGUAGUCUUGAGUUCGAGAGAGGUGAGUGGAAUUCCGAGUGUAGAGGUGAAAUUCGUAGAUAUUCGGAGGAACACCAGUGGCGAAGGCGGCUCACUGGCUCGAUACUGACGCUGAGGUGCGAAAGCGUGGGGAGCAAACAGG
Molecule: ribosomal RNA, 404 nt
Filed under: Actinomycetes bacterium
Lineage: Bacteria; Bacillati; Actinomycetota; Actinomycetes
Description: Actinobacteria bacterium partial 16S ribosomal RNA
Rfam family: Bacterial small subunit ribosomal RNA
Source: RNAcentral